This 78-nucleotide transfer RNA is filed under the name Candidatus Bathyarchaeota archaeon. RNAcentral's name for it is "tRNA-Glu". It matches the Rfam family "tRNA". Rfam says of the family: Transfer RNA (tRNA) molecules are approximately 80 nucleotides in length. Their secondary structure includes four short double-helical elements and three loops (D, anti-codon, and T loops). RNAcentral also lists the same sequence under 1 other name. Lineage: Archaea; Thermoproteati; Candidatus Bathyarchaeota. The record is from RNAcentral.
GCUCCGGUAGUAUAGCCCGGCCAAGUAUUCCGGCCUUUCGAGCCGGAGACGCGGGUUCAAAUCCCGCCCGGAGCACCA